RNAcentral lists this ribosomal RNA (497 nucleotides) under uncultured bacterium. Its description in RNAcentral is "partial 16S ribosomal RNA". It matches the Rfam family "Bacterial small subunit ribosomal RNA", at positions 28 to 507 of the family's 1533-position model. The record is from RNAcentral.
GAUGAACGCUGGCGGCGUGCCUAAUACAUGCAAGUCGAGCGAACGGACGAGAAGCUUGCUUCUCUGAUGUUAGCGGCGGACGGGUGAGUAACACGUGGAUAACCUACCUAUAAGACUGGGAUAACUUCGGGAAACCGUAGCUAAUACCGGAUAAUAUUUUGAACCGCAUGGUUCAAAAGUGAAAGACGGUCUUGCUGUCACUUAUAGAUGGAUCCGCGCUGCAUUAGCUAGUUGGUAAGGUAACGGCUUACCAAGGCAACGAUGCAUAGCCGACCUGAGAGGGUGAUCGGCCCCCCUGGAACUGAGACACGGUCCAGACUCCUACGGGAGGCAGCAGUAGGGAAUCUUCCGCAAUGGGCGAAGGCCUGACGGAGCAACGCCGCGUGAGUGAUGAAGGUCUUCGGAUCGUAAAACUCUGUUAUUAGGGAAGAACAUAUGUGUAAGUAACUGUGCACAUCUUGACGGUACCUAAUCAGAAAGCCACGGCUAACUACGUG